This 1015-nucleotide ribosomal RNA is filed under the name Parascedosporium tectonae. Its description in RNAcentral is "SSU rRNA". It matches the Rfam family "Eukaryotic small subunit ribosomal RNA", at positions 62 to 1088 of the family's 1831-position model. The record is from RNAcentral. Lineage: Eukaryota; Fungi; Ascomycota; Sordariomycetes; Microascales; Microascaceae.
AGUAUAAGCAAUUAUACCGCGAAACUGCGAAUGGCUCAUUAUAUAAGUUAUCGUUUAUUUGAUAGCACAUCACUACAUGGAUAACUGUGGUAAUUCUAGAGCUAAUACAUGCUAAAAAUCCCGACUUCGGAAGGGAUGUAUUUAUUAGAUUAAAAGCCAACGCCCUUCGGGGCUUCCUGGUGAUUCAUAAUAACUUUUCGAAUCGCAUGGCCUUGCGCCGGCGAUGGUUCAUUCAAAUUUCUUCCCUAUCAACUUUCGAUGCGAAGGUCUUGUCUUCGCAUGGUUGCAACGGGUAACGGAGGGUUAGGGCUCGACCCCGGAGAAGGAGCCUGAGAAACGGCUACUACAUCCAAGGAAGGCAGCAGGCGCGCAAAUUACCCAAUCCCGACACGGGGAGGUAGUGACAAUAAAUACUGAUACAGGGCUCUUUUGGGUCUUGUAAUCGGAAUGAGUACAAUUUAAAUCUCUUAACGAGGAACAAUUGGAGGGCAAGUCUGGUGCCAGCAGCCGCGGUAAUUCCAGCUCCAAUAGCGUAUAUUAAAGUUGUUGUGGUUAAAAAGCUCGUAGUUGAACCUUGGGCCUGGCUGGCCGGUCCCCCUCACCGGGUGCACUGAUCCAGCCGGGCCUUUCCCUCUGUGGAACCCCAUGGCCUUCACUGGCUGUGGCGGGGAAACAGGACUUUUACUUUGAAAAAAUUAGAGUGCUCCAGGCAGGCCUAUGCUCGAAUACAUUAGCAUGGAAUAAUAGAAUAGGACGUGUGGUUCUAUUUUGUUGGUUUCUAGGACCGCCGUAAUGAUUAAUAGGGACAGUCGGGGGCAUCAGUAUUCAAUUGUCAGAGGUGAAAUUCUUGGAUCUAUUGAAGACUAACUACUGCGAAAGCAUUUGCCAAGGAUGUUUUCAUUGAUAAGGAACGAAAGUUAGGGGAUCGAAGACGAUCAGAUACCGUCGUAGUCUUAACUAUAAACUAUGCCGACUAGGGAUCGGACGAUGUUAUUCUUUGACGCGUUCGGCACCU